This 74-nucleotide transfer RNA is filed under the name Coprothermobacter sp. RNAcentral's name for it is "tRNA-Lys". It matches the Rfam family "tRNA". Rfam says of the family: Transfer RNA (tRNA) molecules are approximately 80 nucleotides in length. Their secondary structure includes four short double-helical elements and three loops (D, anti-codon, and T loops). Lineage: Bacteria; Pseudomonadati; Coprothermobacterota; Coprothermobacteria; Coprothermobacterales; Coprothermobacteraceae. The record is from RNAcentral. RNAcentral also lists the same sequence under 6 other names.
GGGCCCGUAGCUCAGUCUGGCAGGGCAUCUGGCUCUUAACCAGAAGAUCGCGGGUUCAAAUCCCGUCGGGCCCA